ACAGCAGCAGCCGCGGGAAUACGUAGGGAGCAAGCGUUGUUCGGAUUUACUGGGCGUAAAGGGCGCGUAGGCGGCGCGGUAAGUCACUUGUGAAAUCUCUGAGCUUAACUCAGAACGGCCAAGUGAUACUGCUGUGCUAGAGUGCGGAAGAGGCAACCGGAAUUCUUGGUGUAGCGGUGAAAUGCGUAGAUAUCAAGAGGAACACCUGAGGCGAAGGCGGGUUGCUGGGCCGACACUGACGCUGAUGCGCGAAAGCCAGGGGAGCAAACGGGAUUAGAUACCCCUGUAGUCCCUGUCUCUUAUAC
RNAcentral lists this ribosomal RNA (305 nucleotides) under uncultured bacterium. RNAcentral's name for it is "partial 16S ribosomal RNA". It matches the Rfam family "Bacterial small subunit ribosomal RNA", at positions 505 to 807 of the family's 1533-position model. The record is from RNAcentral.